AUGAGCCACUGUACUGCGCUGUGCCUACUUCAAAGGACUGAAAAUAAAAAAUAAAUAAAUCUUUGCCAAAUUAAAAAACAAAGCAAUAGUUUCCAGGUCUUAGAUAAAGACAAUUCUCUGUCAUGAAGAAUGACAGAAGGCUUAUUUAGCUGUUAAAAUGAUUUGCUUAUAUUUCAAAGAAGCAGAGAAAAAAAGGUACAUGUAAAAGUGUUCCAGGCCACUCAUGGUGGUUCAUGCCUGUAAUCUGAACAUUUGGGGAGGCCAAGGCAUGAGGAUACCUUCAAGCCAAAUGUUUGAGUCCAGUACAGGCAAUAUGGUGAAAUUCUGUCACUACAAAAAAAUAAAAUAAAUAUGGCUGGGCAUGUUGGCUCACACCUGUAAUCCCAGCACUUUGGGAGUCUGAGGCAGGUGGAUAAUGAGGUCAGGGGGUGGAGACCAGCCUGGCCAAAAUGGUAAAACCCAUUCUCUACUAAAAAUAAUAAUAACAAAAAAUUAGCCAGACAUGGUGGUGUGCGCCUGUAAUCCCAGCUACUCAAAAGGCUGAGACAGGAGAAUUGCUUGAACCUGGGAGGUGGAGGUUGCAUUGAGACAAGAUCAUGGCACUACACUCCAGCCUAGCCCACAGAGCAAGACACUGUCUUGAAAAAAAAUAAAAACAAAAAUAAAUAAAGCUAGCCAGGCAUGGUGGUUCAUGCCUAUAGUCCUAGGUAAUUAAGCGGUUGAUGCAGGAGGACUGCUCAAACCCAAGAGGUUAAGGUUACCGUGAGCUAUGAUUAUGCCGUUGCACUUCAGGCUAAGUAAAAGAGUAAGAUUCUGCCUCAAAAAAUUACUAAUUAAAGUUUUCCAGAUUACAUUGUUUAAGAAAAAGGAAAAGAAAAAAAUCUUUUUUUUAUUUUCAAAUGGGAGAAUAGAGCCUCUCAUUUCUAAUUUGUAUUGCCUUCUGCAAAAACUUAGUCUAGGCCCAUGGUCUUGAACUACUGGACAUCUGAAUUUUGGUAGGUGCUGGAUUCAGGCAACUGAGGGGUGGCCUUGGGCACACUGUGUGCACAUAAAAGAAAGGGUUUGAGGUGAACUAAAAGGUAAAAGAGGGGAAGGUGCUAUUAAGAAACCAGAAGUGAGAGACUGUACAGGGUUGGUGGGAGGACUGGUUCAUGCUACAGACACUGACCCAGGUGAAACUUUUCUCUGAGUUAUUUCUAUGUUCAUGCAGGAAGACGAGAUUAUGAUCAGGUGGCACAGAAAUCUGCGAUGGUGAAAAAACCAGGUUGCCACUGCAGAUUCGGUGUCUGAAGUAGAACAUAUGCCAGGGGUCUUGUAGGCACGUGUGUGGGUUUUUGGUGGGAAAGUCUAUGAGGAAAGGUAGGAUGGGCAACAAUCUUGAUGCCAAAGCCUUGUCCUGAGAGGGGCUUGACCACGUCAACAUGCAGUGUGUAUGUUCAGUGGGUGAAAAACAUGUGGUGGCUUCAAGUUGGCAGGAGGGUAGAAGGCAUCUGUUCUCAGAACUUCUUCCCUCAGAGUCGUCGGUCCUUCUUACCAUGGGAGGAUGCCUGGAACCACAGGGCAGUGCAUGGCGUAGCAGCCUGUGUGCAGAGCAGAGCCUACCUUCCCCGAGACACCUGGAGUCUCUCUCCAGCAAAGGCCCCCACAUUGUCUUUCUCCUUACAACACUUUUGAUCCUAAAUGUGUAAAGUUCCCUGAAAACCCACUGCUUCUUCAACACCCAUUUCUUGCCCCAAAAUUUAAUUCUGACACAACUUAGAGUUCGCACAGAUCCCACAAAUUCAGGGCUAAGUCCCACAUCACCCCUCUCACUGCAGAGGUUAGUCACAUGUCCCAUAAGCCCAUCUAUACUUCUGAGCUACUGCCUAUAAAUCUGAGACUCCCAUAAACCCCUUUUCAAGUUAAAUAAUUUGAUAGAGUUACUCAAAAAAACUCAACAAAUAAGUCUAAUUAUAUUUACCACUUUAUUAUAAAAAUACAACUCAGAAACUGACAAAUGAAAGAGAUGUCUAGGAAAAGGAACAGUUGUGGGUGAAGGUAAUCCUGGAAAUAGCUAUAUUUAAAGAAAUUCCCCCAUUCUUUGUGUUCUCAAAGAACAGCUUAGUGAAGAGAAACGUGCUUCCCAUUAUGACUUUGUGGAUGUUCCCCCCCCCCCUUUUUUUUAACCUAUCACAAAGACGGACACAGAUUACAAAUUCCUAUUUUUAAAAAUGAACAACCAUUCUGUAAUUUAGUCUUCAGUGGUCAAAACAGAGUACUUGUUAACAAAACUUUGCUUGUUCCCCUUCUUCCCUCAGCCCCUGAACUUUGACUCACCCACAGCCUCAGAGAACCUACAACCCAUAUUUAUACAUAUCCCUCCUAAGAACAGGCUGACUUCAAGAUGAAACAUUAUCUUAUCUGGGAUCUGAUUUUGCUACCCUCCAUCCUGUGCUUCCUUUCCAACCUUCUUUGUAAACUUAUUUUCUCCUCCCUAUGAAAUAAAACCCUUUUCCACCUAACCUUUGAGAUCCUCAAAGAUCUAAUCAUUUGUACUUUUUCCUUGUUACAACACUUCUUAAGUAACUUCUUAGACAAAGUCUAUAAACAGUCUCAGGACAAUAACAACUCCAUUCUAGAAAGAAUAUCCCAACUUUUCUUCAAUCUCAACCCCAACUGCAUCUGCCUGUCAACUUCCAGCUUACCAAAGCUCUGUAUCUUCUGACAGUGACAAAGGCUCCUUCUAUGGUUGGUGUGAGCAGACUUUGAUGUCUGCAGGGCAGACACCCAGGAAUAAUCAACUGGGCCUUCAGUGGCCCCCUUUUGCAGGGUCAACGUUAGCCUUAGCUUUUAGUCAACGGUCUAAGACUUCUACUUACCAGUUAAAGUCAUUCAAUUAGUUUUCAAUUUAAAAAAUACUUCAUGUUUGAAGAAUCCAGCAAAAAUCAUUCAAAUCUAAGGUUUAAAAGAGAGGAAAUUAUGGUCGGGCAUGGUGGCUCAUGCCUGUAAUCCCUGCAUUUUGGGAGGCUGAGGCGGGCAGAUUACCUGAGGUCAGGAGUUCGAGACCAGCCUCACUAACAUGAAGAAACACAGUCUCUACUAAAAAUACAAACUUAAACGGGGGUGGUCGUGUAUUCCUGUAAUCCCAGUUACUUGGGAGGCCGAGGCAGGAGAAUUGCUUGAACCCGGGAGGUGGAGGUUACAGUGAGCCAAUAUCGUGCCAUUGCACUCCAGACUGGGCAACAAGAGUGACACUAAGUCUAAAAAAUAAAAUUAAAAUUAAAAAAGAAAGUUAUAAGGGGCUUACAUUUUAUAACUCAACAAGAAAAGCCAAAGUAUCUAUCCCUUUCAGAAAAUAAACAUGUAAUUUAAUUAUGUUCAUAACAAAUCAUUUAGUAAACAAUCAUAUGUGAACACUUCCAGGCGGUGCCAAGUCCCAGCUCCUAAAACUUAGCGUUACCCUCAAACACCCAGAUGACAGCAUAUGGAACAGAGAUACUCACUAUCAGAAGUUCUCUGUUUUGAAAAAAGAAUAACUGAUGUGAUAAAUUUAUGUAAUUUAACAAUUAAUCUACCUCACGUGCUUGUAGGUAUGUAUUCAUUUCGUACCACCGUAGUGGAAGAGAGACUAUCCCUAUCAAUACACCUGGUAACAUUCCCAACAGUAAGUCGUGAGAUUCUGCUUGAAAUCACCUCUCAGACAAAUAAAAAACAGUCCUGGGAAAUGUACGACACUCAUUCUGCUAAAGAAAUAGGGCAAGAAAGCUUUCUAAGACCCCGAACUCCAGAUAUGCGAUGGGGCAAAUCCUGAAGCGUACAUGGCUAUCUCUCACAGCUAAAGCAUCCCUCACCCCUAUCCAGCGCUUCUUACCCCUGGCGCAAGAGAAUCACCUGCGGGGAGGAAAACUUUCAAAAUCCCUUAAACCCAAGUUGUAACCGCACAACUAAAUCAGAAUCCUUGGAGCUGGAUCUGAAAAAAAUAUGGUUGAAAGUCGUGCAGGUGAUUACAAUGUGUAGGCAAGCCAGAAAACCAUGGCUUUAACGAGCAGCUUUUGUUAGAAAUGAUUUCUCCAAUGAAUGUGAAAACGUUUGCUGCUGAAUUGUGACCUUUCCAUUUUACCUGCUUUUCCUGCAAAGUAUAUUUUGCAGACCCAGGCUGGCUUCUCCUUCUGUUCCUGGUUCACCCAGUGCCGUGUGUGCUCAGUGCAUCCUGUGCACGGGUCACUGUGUGCCCUGGCCUGGGUGAGCAUCAUUCUUCGGGGAGAACCUUGAUGAAAACAAAGCUGCAUUCCAAAAAGUUAAAACCAUGCUACUUACUGUGUUGAAGUAAAAAUUAAAAGACCCAGGGGGGCUCACCCAAAAGUUAAAACAUAAAUAAAUAACUUGGAACAUUAACAUACACCUGAUGAUGUCCUGAGUGAACACGCCCCACUUGAAAACAAAACAAAACAUUGCUAUUAUUCUAAAAUAUUAAUUUAGGAUUGUUAUGCAAACAUGCACUCUUUACAUUUUUAUUGAUAAAUAACAUGCAUACAGCAAUAUAGGCACAAAGCAUUUAGGGAAUGUUUGAUGAAUUAUUACUAAAUAAAUACACUUGUGUAUCUAAGAAUCAGAUUUGUUCAUGCCCCUGACACUUUCCCCUUCCCAAAGGUAACCAAGACCUUAAGAGCUAAGUGUAGAUAAACUUUGUCAUUUUGUACAAGUGUUUUAUUACAGAUCACUAAAAACAUACACAAUACAAAAAAAGUAUAACAGACCAGUCACCCAGCUUUAACAGCUGCUAGUCAUGUGUCAUUUUUGUUUUAUCUAUACUUCCAGCCAUGCCCCCACCCCCAAUUUCAUUAUUUUUUAGGCUUUUUGGAUAAAAUGUAUAUUCAUUGCAAGGUACAAUGCGAACUGUAAAUAGUAGAGAGAUGGGGUUUUACCAUGUUGGUCAGGCUGUUCUUGAACUCCUGACCUCAGGUGAUCCACUCUCUUCCACCUCGCAAAGUGCUGGGAUUACAGGCGUGAGCCAAUAUACUCGGCCUGAGAAUUCAUAUUUCUAAUAAAGUACAAAUCCAUAGGGCACAUGACAACUGCAAUGUCUAUCUACAGUAAAAACAGUUUGAUGAAUAAAAUGAAAGGCAAUUGACUUAAGGUGGGAAAAAAACAAUCAAAGCAUGGGUACUAUGUGCCAUCUGUAGGAGCAUUUGGUUAAGAAUAACAAACAAACCAGUUUUAUUGUUUUAAUAACCGAAAUUGGCAAAAUUUCUAGUUUUUCUUUCAUAGGAAUGCUCUUAGCAAGAAAAAAUUUUCAUAUGGUGAGAGCAAAAAUGACAACCAUUUGCAAGUAAAUGUCUUAUGAAAUUAAGUAGCAGAUAUCAAGCUCAUGACCUUCAGAUUGUUACCCCUAACUCAAUCAUUUACAUAGCAAGUGCAGAUAAUUUUCAUAGUUCCCCAUUAAAAUUAUACUUUACUCCCCUUACAAAUUGUGACUGUUUUUAAAUAAAGUUCACUAACUAAAAUUUUGUAUAUGACAUAUGAUAAAUUUCCCUUCAAGUCACCUUAUAUUUACUUAAUUGUGUUAGCCAGUGUCUGUCUACCUCCCAACAAUACUUUGGGAUUCUCCCUCCAUUUGCACAGGCAUCAUAGCUGGGGAACAGGGAUUCAAAAGACCCAGGCUGUUCCCUACAUAUGUUUCCUCCUCAGACAUCAGUUAAUCAGUCAAUCAAGUCAAGUGAGAGUGGAGGCCAUGUAUUCCCUCUUAUUCUUGGGCACUCUCCUCCAAGGAGGAAAAGGCCAGGAGGUCCUGUUAGAGGAUGCACUCUGAGAGCCCGGGCUCCCUAAGGUAUGAGAGUUCUAACCAGCAGGUGUAGACUUUUCAGGAGUGAGGAAUGAGGCAGGCAUUCCAAACCUGGAGCUUCAUCACCUUUUGUUUCAUCUCAAGACAAUUCUGAGGGGCUGUUUUGGAGCGUGUCUGGAAGGUGAACGUUGAAGAAGAGUGUGGGCUUUGAUGUGACUCAGAUGAGAUC
RNAcentral lists this long non-coding RNA (5990 nucleotides) under Homo sapiens (human). Its description in RNAcentral is "novel transcript". Lineage: Eukaryota; Metazoa; Chordata; Mammalia; Primates; Hominidae. The record is from RNAcentral.